This 497-nucleotide ribosomal RNA is filed under the name uncultured bacterium. Its description in RNAcentral is "partial 16S ribosomal RNA". It matches the Rfam family "Bacterial small subunit ribosomal RNA", at positions 28 to 507 of the family's 1533-position model. The record is from RNAcentral.
GAUGAACGCUGGCGGCGUGCCUAAUACAUGCCAGUCGAGCGAACAGACGAGGAGCUUGCUCCUCUGACGUUAGCGGCGGACGGGUGAGUAACACGUGGAUAACCUACCUAUAAGACUGGGAUAACUUCGGGAAACCGGAGCUAAUACCGGAUAAUAUAUUGAACCGCAUGGUUCAAUAGUGAAAGACGGUUUUGCUGUCACUUAUAGAUGGAUCCGCGCCGCAUUAGCUAGUUGGUAAGGUAACGGCUUACCAAGGCAACGAUGCGUAGCCGACCUGAGAGGGUGAUCGGCCACACUGGAACUGAGACACGGUCCAGACUCCUACGGGAGGCAGCAGUAGGGAAUCUUCAGCAAUGGGCGAAAGCCUGACGGAGCAACGCCGCGUGAGUGAUGAAGGUCUUCGGAUCGUAAAACUCUGUUAUUAGGGAAGAACAAAUGUGUAAGUAACUAUGCACGUCUUGACGGUACCUAAUCAGAAAGCCACGGCUAACUACGUG